Molecule: transfer RNA, 72 nt
Filed under: Calumma globifer
Lineage: Eukaryota; Metazoa; Chordata; Lepidosauria; Squamata; Chamaeleonidae
Description: tRNA-Asn
Source: RNAcentral
CAGGACCAGCGGGCCUUGAUCCCACAAAAACUAGUUAACAGCUAGUAGCCCAAACCAGCGGGCAUUAGUCCA